AUUGAACGCUGGCGGCAGGCCUAACACAUGCAAGUCGAACGGUAACAGGAAGCAGCUUGCUGCUUCGCUGACGAGUGGCGGACGGGUGAGUAAUGUCUGGGAAACUGCCUGAUGGAGGGGGAUAACUACUGGAAACGGUAGCUAAUACCGCAUAACGUCGAAAGACCAAAGAGGGGGACCUUCGGGCCUCUUGCCAUCGGAUGUGCCCAGAUGGGAUUAGCUUGUUGGUGGGGUAAUGGCUCACCAAGGCGACGAUUCCUAGCUGGUCUGAGAGGAUGACCAGCCACACUGGAACUGAGACACGGUCCAGACUCCUACGGGAGGCAGCAGUGGGGAAUAUUGCACAAUGGGCGCAAGCCUGAUGCAGCCAUGCCGCGUGUAUGAAGAAGGCCUUCGGGUUGUAAAGUACUUUCAGCGAGGAGGAAGGUGUUGUGGUUAAUAACCGCAGCAAUUGACGUUACUCGCAGAAGAAGCACCGGCUAACUCCGUGCCAGCCGCCGCAGUAACAC
RNAcentral lists this ribosomal RNA (509 nucleotides) under uncultured bacterium. RNAcentral's name for it is "bacterial SSU rRNA". It matches the Rfam family "Bacterial small subunit ribosomal RNA", at positions 30 to 526 of the family's 1533-position model. The record is from RNAcentral.